CAGGGGAACCUGGCCCUUAAUUCGAUGAUCCACGAACCUCUUACCUUUUCUAGUUUUGCUUAUCUUUGCAAGAAGUAAACAAAGAUCAGCUCGCAUACCGCCGUUUCGUAGCUUGUAUCGUGAGAGGACAUAAACAGGCGCCCUAGUGGCCCGUAUAAAAAUAAAUAAGGGUUUCUCUAAUAAUUCAGGUAAACGUGUGGCCUAUGGAAAGGGGGUGCUGGGUUACAA
This 228-nucleotide ribosomal RNA is filed under the name Lottia cf. borealis 22-17.1_Uss. RNAcentral's name for it is "partial small subunit ribosomal RNA". The record is from RNAcentral. RNAcentral also lists the same sequence under 1 other name. Lineage: Eukaryota; Metazoa; Mollusca; Gastropoda; Lottiidae.